ACCUGCGGAAGGAUCAUUAUUGAAUGAACUUGGUGUGGUUGUAGCUGGCCCUCUUGAAAAGGGCAUGUGCACACCCACCAUCCUCAUCUCUCCACCUGUGCACCUCUUGUAGACUUGGAUUGACUUUCCGAGGCAACUCGGUCGGGAGGACUGCUGGCACUAGCUGGCUUUCCUUGCAUUUCCAAGUCUACGUUUUUCAUAUACCCUAUCGUAUGUAAUAGAAUGUAUCAUUGGGCACUUGUGCCUAUAAACCUUAUACAACUUUCAGCAACGGAUCUCUUGGCUCUCGCAUCGAUGAAGAACGCAGCGAAAUGCGAUAAGUAAUGUGAAUUGCAGAAUUCAGUGAAUCAUCGAAUCUUUGAACGCACCUUGCGCUCCUUGGUAUUCCGAGGAGCAUGCCUGUUUGAGUGUCAUUAAAUUCUCAACCUUUAUCAGCUUUUGUUGAUAAUGGCUUGGAUAUGGGGGUUUAUUUUUGCUGGCUUCUUCACGGAUGGUCAGCUCCCCUUAAAUGCAUUAGCCGGUGCCCCGCGUGGACUGUCUAUUGGUGUGAUAAUUAUCUACGCCGUGGACAUCUGCAGUCAUAUGGGUUUGCACUGCUUCUAACCGUCUGUUCAUUCAGACAAUAUAUGACA
This 632-nucleotide ribosomal RNA is filed under the name Hebeloma cf. tomentosum JCS91904A. RNAcentral's name for it is "eukaryotic LSU rRNA". The stretch from base 260 to 413 matches the Rfam family "5.8S ribosomal RNA". The record is from RNAcentral. Lineage: Eukaryota; Fungi; Basidiomycota; Agaricomycetes; Agaricales; Hymenogastraceae.